Molecule: long non-coding RNA, 245 nt
Filed under: Elaeis guineensis (African oil palm)
Lineage: Eukaryota; Viridiplantae; Streptophyta; Magnoliopsida; Arecales; Arecaceae
Description: long non-coding RNA (EGUI_LNC050787)
Source: RNAcentral
AUCUUUAUCCUCUCACGUGGAUAAGAUGUUUGACAUUGUUUUAAAAGGAGGAGAAGAGUGUGGCAUGUGCAAGAAAAAUUUUGGAGAGAAAAUCUAGGCAUGAGGAAUCCUUGUGUGCAAGGUGAAGGUCUAUAUCCUUCUGAGAGAAAAAGAAAGAAAAGAAAGAAAAAGUGUGCGCAGGGUUUCAAUGAGUUCUUCAGGGUUUCAGCCUGGAGUUCGGGAAGUGAGAAGGUGAGCUACGAGUG